CAAUACGGAAGGUACACGAGUGGCGCACGGGUGCGUAACGCGUAUGUAAUCUGCCCUUGACCGGAACAAAACAGCUGGAAACGGCUGCUAAUAUUCCAUGGUCAUUUUCGGAGGCAUCUCUGGGGAUGUAAAGAUUUAUUGGUCAAGGAUGAGCAUGCGUAUUAUUAGAUAGUUGGUGGGGUAACGGCCCACCAAGUCGACGAUGAUUAGGGGUUCUGAGAGGAUUAACCCCCACACUGGAACUGAGACACGGUCCAGACUCCUACGGGAGGCAGCAGUAGGGAAUAUUGGGCAAUGGAAGGAAUUCUGACCCAGCCAUGCCGCGUGAAGGAAGACGGUCCUAUGGAUUGUAAACUUCUUUUAUCGCAGAGUAAAUUGGGGCACGUGUGCCCCAUUGAGAGUAUGCGAUGAAUAAGUAUCGGCUAACUCCGUGCCAGCAGCCGCGGUAAUACGGAGGAUACGAGCGUUAUCCGGAUUUAUUGGGUUAAAAGGGUGCGCAGGCGGAUCGGUAAGUCAGGGGUGAAAAGUUCGUGCUUAACAUGAAUCGUGCCUUUGAUACUGCCGGACUAGAGUGCAAUAGACGUGGGCGGAAUGUGAUGUGUAGCGGUGAAAUGCUUAGAUAUGUCACAGAACACCGAUCGAGAAGUCAGCUCACGAGUUUGCAACUGACGCUCAUGCACGAAAGCGUGGGGAUCAAACAGGAUUAGAUACCCUGGUAGUCCACGCUGUAAACGAUGAUCACUCGUUGUUGGCCGGCGACGGUCAGUGGCCAAGCGAAAGCGAUAAGUGAUCCACCUGGGGAGUACGAUCGCAAGGUUGAAACUCAAAGGAAUUGACGGGGGCCCGCACAAGCGGAGGAGCAUGUGGUUUAAUUCGAUGUUACGCGAGGAACCUUACCCGGGCUUGAACGUAAGACGACGACGCAGGAGACUGCGUUUCCUUCGGGCGUUUUGCGAGGUGCUGCAUGGUUGUCGUCAGCUCGUGCCGUGAGGUGUUAGGUUAAGUCCUGCAACGAGCGCAACCCUUACUUUUAGUUGCCAGCAUGUAAAGAUGGGGACUCU
Molecule: ribosomal RNA, 1061 nt
Filed under: uncultured bacterium
Lineage: Bacteria
Description: bacterial SSU rRNA
Rfam family: Bacterial small subunit ribosomal RNA
Source: RNAcentral